This is a long non-coding RNA of Pundamilia nyererei, 847 nucleotides long. RefSeq lists it as uncharacterized. The transcript has 3 exons. Lineage: Eukaryota; Metazoa; Chordata; Actinopteri; Cichliformes; Cichlidae. The record is from RefSeq and is a predicted model, not a curated record.
GUCACAACAAGAAGUGUUUCAGUAUUCUCUAAACCACAUUAGAAAUGCAAUUUCAGGCCCACAGACAGGUAAAAAUAAGCUCCACAGCUCGGCUGCAGACACUAAAUAUUCAGUGGACAGCUGACACGGCACACCACCGAACAAAUGUAUCUUCUCCCGCUGAGCUUUUGCGUGAACUCUGCACUUUAUCCUCAGACAUGAAGGCUAACAUGGCUGAAACACACAGUUUGACAGCAGCGCAGGGCAGGAAGGUAAGUGACCACAACGAUGAAGCAGAGAGGGGACACAGAGACGAAGCAGGCUGACAAACUACUUCAUUACUUCCCGUUUCUGAUUUCGAUCUAUUUCUCAGGUGGCUGUUUAGACACAACCUAAGCUUUCUUGGCUUUGAAAACUAUCAACCUGUUCUAGUACAGGUAGUUUUAAAAUGGCAGAAGUAAGUAAAGCGACUCUUCCGCUUAGAGCCACCAAAAUAAAGGCCCAAUGUUUGCUUGUUUUUUAAAAAUAAAAAUAAACACACGCGCACAAAGAAAGAAAAAUAAAACUAAUACAAUCAACUUAAGUCUUAUAUCGAAAUUAUAUUAUGGUUAUCCCAUAUUCCAACUUUACUUUUCCAAUAUCAGUUCUUGAGCAAGUUAAUAAUUGGUUUAACAAUACGCGUAGAAGGGUUGAUGGUCGUGAGAGAAGAAUCAAACUAUUAUUCAGCUCCGGUCUGUAAAAAUACUCACUUCAUUCUUUUCUGGUAAAUUAUAAACUGCGCUGGCUUAUAACAUGAAAAAUAAAUUCAUCCGCUGCCUUUCAAGUCUGUGAAUUUCACCUAAAUCAACUGAACAUGUAAAUUGCUCGU